AUUUAUGAAUUAUAAAUAUGUGAAUUUCUGUAUUCAUAUAUACAAGUGCAUUUCAUAAAAUUAGAAUAGCAAGGAAAAUUGAAUAUUUUAUCAUUUUUAUACACAGUAGAUGUGGCAGCUGUGCUCCAUACAGUCUGUAAAGAAUCUCAUUUGUAGACUGAUUACUGUAGAAUAACAAGUAUAUGAGCAUGGACAAAGAUGUUAAUUCUACUUAACUCAAAAUGUAUUGUCUGUACACAUUUAAGUAAUACCCUUUCAGCAAAUGUUCUUACAUAAUUUUUACAUUGUAUGUAUUUUAUUCUAGGAAACACUGGUGUUGCAAUCAUGGGCAAGACUUCCUAGAUAACUACUGCCCCCACCAAAAAAACCCACUACUCAUGGACUCAGCAAAGGGAGAACAAUGGGAAAUAAAGUUAAUCCCAGCAACAUUUGAACUCAGAACAAUAUACUUGGUCAACGACUUUGAAAGGAGGUGGUUUGUCAAUGUCAGUGAUUCUAACACUUCACAGAUACUUUAUAUUAUCAACCUGAAAAAGCAAAGUUGAUUUUGGCAGAAUUUGAAUUCAGAAUAUAAAGAGCCACCACAAAUGCCACAAAGUAAUUUUACUGAUGUUCAGAUGUUUCUACCGGUACACUACCUUAA
Octopus sinensis (East Asian common octopus) is the source of this 643-nucleotide long non-coding RNA. RefSeq lists it as uncharacterized. The record is from RefSeq and is a predicted model, not a curated record. NCBI's taxonomy places the organism in Eukaryota, Metazoa, Mollusca, Cephalopoda, Octopoda, Octopodidae. The transcript is spliced from 3 exons.